Long non-coding RNA from Magallana angulata, 248 nucleotides. RefSeq lists it as uncharacterized. NCBI's taxonomy places the organism in Eukaryota, Metazoa, Mollusca, Bivalvia, Ostreida, Ostreidae. The record is from RefSeq and is a predicted model, not a curated record. The transcript has 3 exons.
GCCAAAUAGAACAACAACAACUUGUGGAAUGGCACCCAACGCUUUCAAAGCACUUUGUUUGGUUAUUCAUUUCCUAAUCAACGAAAGUCAUGGGUCUAGCCAACAGGUCCCUGCUUCUUGUAUAACAAAAUUGAGAAGAAAAAGGGGUGAGGUCUAAAAAGAAAUGGCAGGUUCUCCCGGAAUUGCAAAUUUUCCAUACCAUGUAUUUCGCAAGACUGAUUCUAAACUUCAAGUAUAUGUAUUCUUGC